Molecule: non-coding RNA, 497 nt
Organism: Paramuricea clavata
Lineage: Eukaryota; Metazoa; Cnidaria; Anthozoa; Malacalcyonacea; Plexauridae
Source: the annotation of a GenBank genome assembly
AUGCACAAUCUUACCACUCGAUACAUGCUGAAUAUAGCCAAAAUGCCCAGAUCCUUCAGCUGGUACGAACCUAACUUGGAGCCGGCCGGCAUUGCUCCUGUCAUCAUAAAGGACUAACGAGGUGUUAUUCCCUGGAUCAGAGGAACCUCCUUUAGGAUGAACGAGUUUACCCGACGAUCGGUGGAAUAGAUAUCCAAUAGGUCCGGCCAUCUAACAAAUUUGCAGUUGGUUGUUUUUCGUGUCGAUUGCUUGAAUGACUAGCCGGUAUGAUGUGGUACUGCGUGACAACUGCAUUUAUACACCAGCAUCGAUUUGAUUUGACGUCAAUGGCACCUGAUAUACAAUCAAAACUGAAAACGCGUGGGCAAAAGGCUAUGACGCGAACGCGGCAUCCGUAACUGAUACGUGCUAGCCCGUAUCACGGAUACUUGCAGCUGUUGUAUUUAUUCCAAAUGAUGCAACAAAGUUCACUUUUCAAAAUACCGAAAUAUAACUUU